UACGGAGGGUGCAAGCGUUGUUCGGAUUUACUGGGCGUAAAGGGCGGGUAGGCGGCCACCGCAAGUCAGUUGUGAAAUCUCCGGGCUUAACCCGGAAAGGUCAACUGAUACUGCGGGGCUAGAGUGCAGAAGGGGCAACUGGAAUUCUCGGUGUAGCGGUGAAAUGCGUAGAUAUCGAGAGGAACACCUGCGGCGAAGGCGGGUUGCUGGGCUGACACUGACGCUGAACUGCGAAAGCUAGGGGAGCGAACGGG
This 254-nucleotide ribosomal RNA is filed under the name uncultured bacterium. RNAcentral describes it as "partial 16S ribosomal RNA". It matches the Rfam family "Bacterial small subunit ribosomal RNA", at positions 524 to 776 of the family's 1533-position model. The record is from RNAcentral.